AUACUGAAUAAUAUUUUAGGUGUUUUAGAAGAAGCUUAAAUGGGAAAGCGGUGUAAAUCCGCUACAGCCCCCGCUACUGUAAGUGAGGAUGAAAUCGGCAACGGCCACUGAAAAAUUUUCGGGAAGGUGUCGAGAGUAAGGUGAUUCACAAGUCAGGAGACCAGCCUAAAGAAUACAACAACC
This 183-nucleotide non-coding RNA is filed under the name Andreesenella formicacetica. The record is from RNAcentral. Lineage: Bacteria; Bacillati; Bacillota; Clostridia; Peptostreptococcales; Natronincolaceae.